RNAcentral lists this ribosomal RNA (619 nucleotides) under Brucella anthropi. Its description in RNAcentral is "bacterial SSU rRNA". It matches the Rfam family "Bacterial small subunit ribosomal RNA", at positions 799 to 1414 of the family's 1533-position model. Lineage: Bacteria; Pseudomonadati; Pseudomonadota; Alphaproteobacteria; Hyphomicrobiales; Brucellaceae. The record is from RNAcentral.
GGGACGAUCGAAUGAAAGUAGCCGUUGGGGAACUUUACUCUCUUGGUGGCGCAGCUAACGCAUUAACAUUCCGCCUGGGGAGUACGGUCGCAAGAUUAAAACUCAAAGGAAUUGACGGGGGCCCGCACAAGCGGUGGAUCAUGUGGAUUAAUUCGAAGCAACGCGCAAAACCUUACCUACCCUUGACAUCCCUAUAACCCUUAAUAGAUACACUAUCGCUCACUUCAGAUGCAUAACACACGGGCGCUGUGUGUGUCUCCUCCUCUCGUGUCGAGAUAUGUUGGUAUAUCCCCCACCAAGAGCGCCCCCCUCCCCUUUAUGCGCCAACAUUCCACUCGACUCUCACAGGCGACUGCCGGUCAUAAGACGAGAGGAAUGAGGUGAUGACCUCAAGUCCUCUAGGCCCUUACCUUCUGGGCUACUCACGUGCUACGAAGAUAGUGACAGCGAGCAGCGAGCACGAGAGUAUCACCUAAUCUCCAAAAGACAUCUCAUCUCAGACUGCACUCCGACUCUCUAGUGUAUGAAUCUGUAAUCACUACUAAUCACGGAUCAGCGUGCCACGGAGAAUACGUUCUCGGGCCUUGUACACACCGCCCGAUCACAACAGGGGAUUUGG